UAAUACGGGGGGAGCGAACGUUGUUCGGAAUCACUGGGCGUAAAGGGCGCGCAGGCGGCUCGGUCAGUGGACUGUGAAAUGCCCUGGCUCAACCAGGGAACUGCAUUCCAUACUGCCGAGCUUGAGUAUAGGAGAGGAUGGGGGAAUUCCCGGUGUAGCGGUGGAAUGCAUUGAUAUCGGGAGGAACACCAGUGGCGAAGGCGCCCAUCUGGCCUAAUACUGACGCUCAGGCGCGAAAGCUAGGGGAGCAAACAGGAUUAGAUACCCUGGUAGUCCUAGCCGUAAACGGUGAGCACUAGGUGUAGGAAGUAUCGACCCUUCCUGUGCCGCAGCUAACGCAUUAAGUGCUCCGCCUGGGGAGUACGACCGCAAGGUUG
This 377-nucleotide ribosomal RNA is filed under the name uncultured bacterium. RNAcentral's name for it is "bacterial SSU rRNA". It matches the Rfam family "Bacterial small subunit ribosomal RNA", at positions 521 to 896 of the family's 1533-position model. The record is from RNAcentral.